Long non-coding RNA from Daphnia pulicaria, 206 nucleotides. RefSeq lists it as uncharacterized. The transcript is spliced from 3 exons. The record is from RefSeq and is a predicted model, not a curated record. NCBI's taxonomy places the organism in Eukaryota, Metazoa, Arthropoda, Branchiopoda, Diplostraca, Daphniidae.
CGAAACUGUGGAAAUCAACACACCAACUAAUCGUCUGGUUUCAAAUGUUUUUACCGAACACCCGCUAUCUGUCGAAAAUGAAGUUCCGGGACUUGAAGGGGCGGAAAAUUAUUUUGAAAAGCAGACCGAAUCAAAACAGUCCAGUUAUCAAUCAGAAGAUUCGGACGCAACUGCCAAUCAAAUUAUCAAAACAAACGACUUGAUUU